RNAcentral lists this ribosomal RNA (271 nucleotides) under uncultured bacterium. RNAcentral describes it as "partial 16S ribosomal RNA". It matches the Rfam family "Bacterial small subunit ribosomal RNA", at positions 524 to 794 of the family's 1533-position model. The record is from RNAcentral.
GACGAACCGUGCGAACGUUGUUCGGAUUCACUGGGCUUAAAGGGCGCGUAGGCGGGGGACCAAGUCCGGGGUGAAAUCUUUCGGCUUAACCGGAAAAUUGCCUCGGAUACUGGUCUUCUGGAGGGAGGUAGGGGCGGCCGGAACUUCCGGUGGAGCGGUGAAAUGUGUUGAUAUCGGAAGGAACGCCGGUGGCGAAAGCGGGCCGCUGGAUCUCUUCUGACGCUGAGGCGCGAAAGCUAGGGGAGCGAACGGGAUUAGAUACCCGGGUAGU